RNA transcript from Talpa occidentalis (Iberian mole), 1931 nucleotides. It is a transcript of the gene named synaptonemal complex protein 2 like, with no coding region annotated. The transcript has 5 exons. The record is from RefSeq and is a predicted model, not a curated record. NCBI's taxonomy places the organism in Eukaryota, Metazoa, Chordata, Mammalia, Eulipotyphla, Talpidae.
GCCCCCUGCACGCUUGGUCUGCCCGACCCCCCCAGGAGCCCACCCACCCCACCAGGAGCGAGUUCAAAAUGCGAAGCUUCAGAUUCACAAGAACCAGCGGAUCCCAGGUUAGAGGACAGUUCUGGAUUUUCUGAGUUCUCUUGUGUCACUGUGACUCGCCUUCCUGAGAUUUCGUCCACCUCUGAGUUUCUCACAUCAGCGGUGAACACUGUCUGGUGGGGAAACACCAUCUUCUGUAUCUGUGUGAUUUCAUUCUGCCAAGUUGUUCUCUCCCUGUGCCGGCAUAGUCCCUUACGCCCUUGAGUGCCCAUGAGGGCCGACCCUGCGUUCACAGAUGACAGGACGCCCGAGGCGUGGAUGUCGUUUAUUACCCGAGCUUAUUUUGAAGGGACUGACUUCCUGUUCAGACGGAACAUCAGCAUGAGUGCCGGCGAGCAGUAGGUGGGCCCCAAGGAAGGCGCAGAAAAUCGGGUGUCAGCCCGGCGCCUGCGUCCCCCUGGAGCCUCGCGCCUCCUCAGGCUCCAGGAGGUGGGCGGACAGGCGCUCGCCCCUGAGACAGGCCGAGGGGGUCGAAGUGCUGAUGGCUCGAGAAGGCCCCUGCUCUCCCCUCCAGUGACCUCUGGCCUCUGGCCUGUGGUCAAUGCGUGAACAAAAUGCCGCGGCCGCUCAGCGGUGGUCUUUCUGGACAGCACGGGUCAAGCGCCCCAGGCAGGCGCCUCCUGCGCGUGGGCCCUGCUCUCACUCCUGACGCCAGCGCUGCCCAGAACGCCGAGGCCUGGGUGCCCUCACCAGACAUGGCCCGGGCAGGGGCACUGCCAGGGCAGGGGGACCCCUCCUGGGACCGUAGGUGCAGGCUUCCCGCCGGGUGCUUCGGGCUUUGUGAGGGGCUGCCAGCGCCCUCCCAUGUCAAACGGCUGAGAGAGCCCCGCGGUGCGGCUUUUUACCAGGUGCGUUGAAGGACAUGGUGCUUGCUCUGGCCAAGACGCUGGGCUGAAGGGGGGUUCCCCACCUACCCCCACAAGUGUAAGAUGCAUAGAGUGCUGCCUCGCUAAUUCCCUUUAGAAGAUGGCAUCUCUGCAAAAUGUGGAACCAGGGACAUCGGCUCUCAAAGACGAUCCGUUUGUCAGACAGCCGGCUCCCCGUCCUCGUCAGAAAGGGGGGGUCGUAUGGGGAGCAGGUGGGCCAUUCUGCCCCACUCCAGCGGGCUGUGCCCACUGCUGGGCUGACAGAUUUCUGUUGGAGAGACCGAGGUGCUGCCCACUCGGUGUGUCUGGAUCGGGGAGCCCCCCUGGCUGCGAGGGGUCAUUGCCCCAUUGGGAGGAGGACCCUGGAGCCUAACAUCACGACCACUCCGUGUUAAAAUCCAGCACAAAUAUCUAAUUGUCACGGCUCUUUUUUUUUUUAAGUCUUUGCUCAAUUUUAUUAAUUUUUUUAUCGUUGUCCCUAUAACAUAUUUGUGAUUAUUUCAUAUUUAUUUUUUUAAAUUUAUUUUUAUAUUCCCCAUACAAUUGUAACCCCCUUAUUUUAACCCCAAUCCCUCCUUUCCCUGCCCCCCCCCAUAGUGUGUCUCUGGUUCAUAGUUGUUUGUUGAUUUGAUUUUUUCUUUCUUAUAGUUAUUCUUCUUCCUGGUCCCUUAUUUAGGUUUUCUAGAUUCCUGCUAUGAGUAAGACCCUCCGGUAUUUUUUUUUUUUUUAAGAUUUAUUUGUUUAUGCAUACAAGAACCGGGGUACAGGCCAGAAGUGUGGGGGGGGGGUGAGAGGAUUCCCCAGAGGCAGAGUGGGGAGCAGAACAGGCGGAUCCACUGAAAUCCACUCCUGAGGGGAGCAGCGGGGAGACGGGAGAGUCUGCUGCGCCCUGUGGGUCGCUCCCUGGCCGGGGAUGGAACUCGUGCUGCAGUGGCUGCAGACAGCUCCAUAGUGCUGAGACUUAAC